UACGGGAGGCAGCAGUGAGGAAUAUUGGUCAAUGGCCGAGAGGCUGAACCAGCCAAGUAGCGUGCAGGAUGACGGCCCUAUGGGUUGUAAACUGCUUUUAUACGGGGAUAAAGUGAGGGACGCGUCCCUUUUUGUAGGUACCGUAUGAAUAAGGACCGGCUAAUUCCGUGCCAGCAGCCGCGGUAAU
This 187-nucleotide ribosomal RNA is filed under the name uncultured rumen bacterium. RNAcentral describes it as "partial 16S ribosomal RNA". It matches the Rfam family "Bacterial small subunit ribosomal RNA", at positions 340 to 524 of the family's 1533-position model. The record is from RNAcentral.